AUCGGGGUGCGCGGAGACAAAGGGUCUCCGCUGCUGAGAUCAAACCCGUAGACCUGAUCCGGGCAAUACCGGCGCAGGGAAAUUCAA
RNAcentral lists this non-coding RNA (87 nucleotides) under bovine gut metagenome. The record is from RNAcentral.